CCCUUAGAUGUCCUGGGCUGCACGCGCGCUACACUGACGAACGCAACGAGUUUAUCACCUUGGCAGAGAUGUCUGGGUAAUCUUUGAAAGUUCGUCGUGAUGGGGAUAGAUGAUUGUAAUUAUUCGUCUCGAACGAGGAAUUCCUAGUAAGUGUGAGUCAUCAGCUCGCGCUGAUUACGUCCCUGCCCUUUGUACACACCGCCCGUCGCUCCUACCGAUUGAAUGGUCCGGUGAGAACGUCGGAUCACGCGCUCGAUGCUGGGGGCAACCUCAGCGACUUGUGCGAGAGAAGUUGUUCAAACCUUACCAUUUAGAGGAAGGAGAAGUCGUAACA
Molecule: ribosomal RNA, 334 nt
Filed under: uncultured eukaryote
Lineage: Eukaryota
Description: partial 18S ribosomal RNA
Rfam family: Eukaryotic small subunit ribosomal RNA
Source: RNAcentral